Pelobates cultripes (western spadefoot toad) is the source of this 418-nucleotide non-coding RNA. The record is from the annotation of a GenBank genome assembly. Lineage: Eukaryota; Metazoa; Chordata; Amphibia; Anura; Pelobatidae.
UAUAUAUAUAUAAAAUAUUGAUGUGGGGUCAGCUGUACCUUUAAAAAAUCCCCCUGCUAAAAACAUCAAAACCCCCCUGAUCAGAAGGCAGAGUAUUAUGGAGAAGCCUAUCAUCAAACAGUAAGUCUUCAUUUUGUUUUUCUUAUUAGGCUUUAGGAUCUCUUGUUUUAUCUUACCUGAGCUGCAUAAUCUUUGUUGUGAGUCACAGACUGCAGAAGUUUCUUCAUCAGAUCCUGGGCGCUUCUGUGCUUGGUUUACAGAGCAAGCGCAGUUCCAGCGGGCGCUCUACGCAUGCGCGCAUUAAUUUCGCGCUUAAAGGUAUAUCGUGCCAAAAAAUAAAAAGUUUUAAAGUUGAGCAGUUUUGCUGUUAACAACCUCCCUGGUCAUCUGGUAACUAGGAAAGCUGCCUCUUACAUCC